RNAcentral lists this long non-coding RNA (2076 nucleotides) under Daphnia magna. RNAcentral describes it as "uncharacterized LOC123474776". The record is from RNAcentral. Lineage: Eukaryota; Metazoa; Arthropoda; Branchiopoda; Diplostraca; Daphniidae.
ACAACUGUCACAAACAAAACAAGACAAAAAACACUUUUCAGUACAUGGAACACACCAUCUAUCGUGUAGAAACUCGGCAACCAACAAUGUUUUCUUUAAACAACAAUGGAGCAUUUCAAACACGUUAGAAUGAAAUCUUCAAUUCAUGUCUACCAAUUAACUACCAUUUCCGAAAACCCUACGAAAUGUCAAUGAUGAAACGCCUGUUUGAAAAUUGAGAUAUCACUGGAUUUGUUGCAAGAACUUGGAUGGCAGGCAAAAUUCAACGGAUGACUCCUUGCGGCCCCAUUCCGUGAUGCGGAAAUGACAUUCUCCAGGCUACUUAAAAUACAUACUGCGUAUGGCCAACACCCAUGCCGCCAUAAAUUUGGAGUUCAAGGCUAAUGGCAAGCACAUACCGCCAAUUACUCAACAUUUUUUGUGUUCCUUCAACAUGCAAAACACGAGAAAUGUGAAACAAUAAGGAUUCAGCGAUGGCAACAGUUGCUGGUGGUGCAUACUAACGAAUUUCGAAAUCAAGAAAGAAACCAACAAACAAAAAAAAAAGUAACAAAAAAGAAAACUUACAUCAUCACGUAGAUACAACCUGAAGGGGCUCGUGCAUUUAGCUUUGGUUGUGUAACCCACACAGAAACUAAUAACGUCAGCGUUCCACAACAAAACUGCGUGUUAUCAUCUAAACGAAGAAAUGGCCGUCUUUUCUGGUGAAGUGCCCACUACAGUUCUACUGUGCGUUUGAUAAUGGAGAUAAUGGUCGACAGCUUCACCAACUAUAGACGUCGAAAAUGUGGGAUAGGUGACAAAACGGUGAAGAAGGCUGAGUAUUGUAUCCUUUUCCUUACCCUUCCCUAAGUACAUUUAUAAGAAAAAAAUUCUUGGAAAUUGUCGAGUUGCCAAAUCGUUUAAAAAUGACGUAUUACGUAACUUAAAUCCUCCUUCAAAAUGAUUUGAGACAUACAAAUUGAUUGAUUUUUUAAAAACUUUUAAUUGCUGUAUCAUCGCAUUUACGCAUUGGUCAUCGUUGGCCCCACUUGUCAAAUGUGACAAGCAUUUCGUGUUAAAAACACCUGCGGGAAGCCUCAAGGAUAAACGAAACGGAUGUGCAAGUCAUAAUGAGACGACAUUUCAAUCGUAUCCUCCUUUGUUUGCAUUGCACACGAUUUUACUAUUACUUAAAACAUUAAUAACUCUACAUAACGCCCAUUGUGAUUUGGGAAGCGUUCAUUAGCGUAGUCACAUUUUAUUUUGACAAUCGUUCGGGGAGGAAAGAGGCCAGUUCAUCAUUAACAUUAGCUGUUUUGUACAGGCCGAUCUCAUCGUGACGGAAUAAGAGUUACGAAAUGCAACAACAAUGCUGAUCCGGUUACAACUAUCGACAUAUCUCCUAAUCAUGCCCUUCUCCUGAAGCCUCUUGGAACAGUUUUCAUGGUCAAGGUGUAGCCCGUAGAUGGGAUAAUACCUCUUGUGUAGCUUUUCUCUUUCGUUUUUAUUGUUGAGAAUUUCAGGUGGGUGUUUAUCACGCCUUUUACCUUUUCUUGCAAUACCAAAUUGCUUCACUAGUACUCUUAAUAAUGCGAGCGCAUUUUUAUGUUGAAAAAGACAAUGCCUUUGUUGCUGAACAGAAAAUUGUUGGCUAAAAAUACUUGGCUACCAAUUUUCUGCGCUGAAAGUAGAGUCGAGUAACAGGUUAACGUAUUACGCACCCAAUGAUCUUUCAAUUGCAAACACCCUGGCCGACUUUAAUUAUUGAGGCGAAGGACGAUAUAUUACUAGUUUUACAGGUCCGUUUUCUUCGAACGCGGUCGUACAUUCUCCAUUCAACAACCUUGACUAUAUAUGGUGUUUGAAUCAAGCGUCAGUAAAGGCGUAUUUUUCGAUAGGAUGCUGGUGAUUCAAUUAAGCACCUGGUAAGAAUGAAUUGAUGCGAAAUUGUACACUGUUAUAGUAUAUUUAUAUGUAGUUGAAUAUCGAAUAGGUUACAUCCAUACAGACAGCCAUACAAUGUCAAAUGUUCAGUAAUGUAUAUAUGUAAAUUCACAGAGCGUGUUGACAGCCCAAAGUGAUGAAAUGAGAGAA